This 468-nucleotide ribosomal RNA is filed under the name uncultured bacterium. RNAcentral describes it as "partial 16S ribosomal RNA". It matches the Rfam family "Bacterial small subunit ribosomal RNA", at positions 28 to 507 of the family's 1533-position model. The record is from RNAcentral.
GACGAACGCUGGCGGCGUGCUUAACACAUGCAAGUCGAACGGAAAGGCCCUGCUUUUGUGGGGUGCUCGAGUGGCGAACGGGUGAGUAACACGUGAGUAACCUGCCCUUGACUUUGGGAUAACUUCAGGAAACUGGGGCUAAUACCGGAUAGGAGCUCCUGCUGCAUGGUGGGGGUUGGAAAGUUUCGGCGGUUGGGGAUGGACUCGCGGCUUAUCAGCUUGUUGGUGGGGUAGUGGCGUACCAAGGCUUUGACGGGUAGGCGGCCUGAGAGGGUGACCGGCCACCUUGGGACUGAGAUACGGACCAGUCUCCUACGGGCCGCAGCAGUGGGGAAUCUUGCACAAUGGGCGGACGCCUGAUGCAGCAACGCCGCGUGCGUGAUGACGGCUUUCGGGUUGUAAACCGCUUUCGCCUGUGACAAACCCUGCGUGACGGUACUGGGUCAAGAAGCAACGGCUAACUACGUG